GAGAAAUUAAAAGAAAAUAAAUAAUGGCGGAAGUUUUCAUGUUUUGCACAUAAUUGUUCUAAAAGUUCCAAGGAUACUGUUUUAAAGAUAAAAAAUUUAACAUCUAUAGCUACAUAAAAGUUGAGAAACAAUGACAGGGCAUGUUCAUUUAUUUAUUUUUAAAUCCAAAAUCUGCUUGCAGUCAGGAAUUACUCAGUGGUGAGAUUCUAGGAGUAAAACUUUCAAUUAUAACAAACCAAAUGAGUAUUAUUUUUUGAAGAGUGAAGAAUUAGUCCAUGAGACAGCUUAAUAAGAUAAAUGGUAUGAUGGGGACACUACUCAGUAUCUUCUUUUCAAAGAUCUAUCAUUCAGAAUGUGAAAAUUACUUGGAAUGUAAGAAACUAAAAUAUAAACAUAUACUGAAAUCUAAAAGGCUGGGAAACUCGUGAAUUGCCAAGAACCCAAUGACCAAGCCUCAAAAUGAAUCUGCAGAUAACAAAGCAUGUGCUAAAACUUAUCCGAAAGGUUUCAACUUUCAACACUUCAAUUUAAAAAAGAAGCAAA
Molecule: unclassified non-coding RNA, 543 nt
Filed under: Hevea brasiliensis (rubber tree)
Lineage: Eukaryota; Viridiplantae; Streptophyta; Magnoliopsida; Malpighiales; Euphorbiaceae
Source: RNAcentral